GAUGAACGCUAGCGGCAGGCCUAACACAUGCAAGUCGAGGGGCAGCAUAUCUAGCUUGCUAGAUGAUGGCGACCGGCGCACGGGUGCGGAACGCGUAUGGAACCUACCUUUGUCAGGGGAAUAGCCCAGAGAAAUUUGGAUUAAUGCCCCAUGGUAACAUUAUAUUGCAUGAUAUUGUGUUUAAAGAUUCAUCGGACGAAGAUGGCCAUGCGUACCAUUAGUUAGUUGGUAAGGUAACGGCUUACCAAGGCAGCGAUGGUUAGGGGCCCUGAGAGGGGGAUCCCCCACACUGGUACUGAGACACGGACCAGACUCCUACGGGAGGCAGCAGUGAGGAAUAUUGGACAAUGGGCGGGAGCCUGAUCCAGCCAUGCCGCGUGCAGGAUGACGGCCCUAUGGGUUGUAAACUGCUUUUGUACGGGAAGAAACCUGUCCACGUGUGGACAGCUGACGGUACCGUAAGAAUAAGGACCGGCUAACUCCG
This 484-nucleotide ribosomal RNA is filed under the name uncultured Flavobacteriaceae bacterium. Its description in RNAcentral is "bacterial SSU rRNA". It matches the Rfam family "Bacterial small subunit ribosomal RNA", at positions 28 to 505 of the family's 1533-position model. Lineage: Bacteria; Pseudomonadati; Bacteroidota; Flavobacteriia; Flavobacteriales; Flavobacteriaceae. The record is from RNAcentral.